Molecule: ribosomal RNA, 718 nt
Filed under: uncultured Planctomyces sp.
Lineage: Bacteria; Pseudomonadati; Planctomycetota; Planctomycetia; Planctomycetales; Planctomycetaceae
Description: bacterial SSU rRNA
Rfam family: Bacterial small subunit ribosomal RNA
Source: RNAcentral
AGCGGCGAACGGCGUAGUAAGGGUAGGAACGUGCCCUCUGGACGGGGAUAGCUACGGGAAACUGUAGGUAAUACCCGAUGAUCUCUGCGGAGCAAAGGUGUGAUUCCGCCGGAGGAGCGGCUUACAUGAUAUUAGCUAGUUGGUGGGGUAAUGGCCCACCAAGGCGAUGAUGUCUAGGGGGUGUGAGAGCAUGGCCCCCACACCGGAACUGAGAUACUGUCCGGACACCUACGGGUGGCUGCAGUCGAGAAUCUUCCGCAAUGGACGAAAGUCUGACGGAGCGAUGCCGCGUGCGGGAUGAAGGCCCUUGGGUUGUAAACCGCUGUCAGAGGGGAUGAAAUCUCCGGAGGUUCUCCUCCGGAGUUGACAGAGCCUCAGAGGAAGCACGGGCUAAGUAUGUGCCAGCAGCCGCGGUAAUACAUACUGUGCGAACGUUAUUCGGAAUCACUGGGCUUAAAGGGUGCGUAGGCGGCGAUUCAAGUCAGAUGUGAAAUGCCUGAGCUCAACUGAGGCAUUGCGUUUGAAACUGGAUUGCUGGAGUGUCCCAGGGGUGUGCGGAACUGCCAGUGGAGCGGUGAAAUGUGUUGAUAUUGGCAGGAACACCGGAGGCGAAAGCGGCACGCUGGGGGAUAACUGACGCUGAGGCACGAAAGCCAGGGGAGCGAACGGGAUUAGAUACCCCGGUAGUCCUGGCUGUAAACGAUGAGCACUGGGCGGG